ACGGGUGAGUAACGCGUGGGAACGUGCCCUAAGGUACGGAACAACUGAGGGAAACUUCAGCUAAUACCGUAUGUGCCCUUCGGGGGAAAGAUUUAUCGCCUUAGGAGCGGCCCGCGUUGGAUUAGCUAGUUGGUGGGGUAAUGGCCCACCAAGGCUACGAUCCAUAGCUGGUCUGAGAGGAUGAUCAGCCACACUGGGACUGAGACACGGCCCAGACUCCUACGGGAGGCAGCAGUAGGGAAUCUUGCGCAAUGGGCGAAAGCCUGACGCAGCCAUGCCGCGUGAAUGAUGAAGGUCUUAGGAUUGCAAAAUUCUUUCACCGGGGAAGAUAAUGACGGUACCCGGAGAAGAAGCCCCGGCUAACUUCGUGCCAGCAGCCGCGGUAAUACGAAGGGGGCUAGCGUUGCUCGGAAUUACUGGGCGUAAAGGGCGCGUAGGCGGACAGUUUAGUCAGAGGUGAAAGCCCAGGGCUCAACCCUGGAAUUGCCUUUGAUACUGGCUGUCUUGAGUUCGGGAGAGGUGAGUGGAAUGCCGAGUGUAGAGGUGAAAUUCGUAGA
This 557-nucleotide ribosomal RNA is filed under the name uncultured bacterium. RNAcentral describes it as "bacterial SSU rRNA". It matches the Rfam family "Bacterial small subunit ribosomal RNA", at positions 102 to 694 of the family's 1533-position model. The record is from RNAcentral.